Molecule: ribosomal RNA, 512 nt
Filed under: uncultured bacterium
Lineage: Bacteria
Description: partial 16S ribosomal RNA
Rfam family: Bacterial small subunit ribosomal RNA
Source: RNAcentral
GAUGAACGCUGGCGGCGUGCCUAAUACAUGCAAGUCGAACGAAACUUCUUUAUCACCGAGUGCUUGCACUCACCGAUAAAGAGUUGAGUGGCGAACGGGUGAGUAACACGUGGGCAACCUGCCCAAAAGAGGGGGAUAACACUUGGAAACAGGUGCUAAUACCGCAUGACCAUAGUUACCGCAUGGUAACUAUGUAAAAGGUGGCUAUACUACCGCUUUUGGAUGGGCCCGCGGCGCAUUAGCUAGUUGGUAGGGUAAAGGCUUACCAAGGCAAUGAUGCGUAGCCGAAUUGAGAGGUUGAUCGGCCACAUUGGGACUGAGACACGGCCCAAACUCCUACGGGAGGCAGCAGUAGGGAAUCUUCCACAAUGGGCGAAAGCCUGAUGGAGCAACGCCGCGUGGGUGAAGAAGGUCUUCGGAUCGUAAAACCCUGUUGUUAGAGAAGAAAGUGCGUGAGAGUAACUGUUCACGUUUCGACGGUAUCUAACCAGAAAGCCACUGCUAACUACGUG